Molecule: ribosomal RNA, 404 nt
Filed under: uncultured bacterium
Lineage: Bacteria
Description: bacterial SSU rRNA
Rfam family: Bacterial small subunit ribosomal RNA
Source: RNAcentral
GUGGGGAAUUUUGCACAAUGGGGGAAACCCUGAUGCAGCGACGCCGCGUGAUUUAGAAGGCCUUCGGGUUGUAAAAAUCUUUUGUAUAGGAAGAAAAUGACAGUACUAUACGAAUAAGGUCCGGCUAAUUACGUGCCAGCAGCCGCGGUAAUACGUAAGGACCGAGCGUUGUCCGGAAUCAUUGGGCGUAAAGGGUACGUAGGCGGCUAGAAAAGUUAGAAGUCAAAGGCUAUAGCUCAACUAUAGUAAGCUUCUAAAACUAUUUAGCUUGAGAAAUGGAAGGGAAAGUGGAAUUCCUAGUGUAGCGGUGGAAUGCGCAGAUAUUAGGAAGAAUACCGGUGGCGAAGGCGACUUUCUGGCCAUUAUCUGACGCUGAGGUACGAAAGCGUGGGUAGCAAACAGGA